UACGUAGGGCGCAAGCGUUAUCCGGAAUUAUUGGGCGUAAAGAGCUCGUAGGCGGUGUGUCACGUCGGCCGUGAAAACCUGCAGCUUAACUGUGGGCGUGCGGUCGAUACGGGCAUCACUGGAGUUCGGCAGGGGAGACUGGAAUUCCUGGUGUAGCGGUGAAAUGCGCAGAUAUCAGGAGGAACACCGGUGGCGAAGGCGGGUCUCUGGGCAACAACUGACGCUGAGGAGCGAAAGCGUGGGGAGCGAACAGG
This 254-nucleotide ribosomal RNA is filed under the name uncultured bacterium. RNAcentral describes it as "partial 16S ribosomal RNA". It matches the Rfam family "Bacterial small subunit ribosomal RNA", at positions 524 to 776 of the family's 1533-position model. The record is from RNAcentral.